AGCCGGUGAUGAGUUGCCAUGCUAAUACUGACGUAGUAGCAGUGAGUGUGAAUGCUCAAAUAGCUGACUGCGGCUG
Xenopus laevis (African clawed frog) is the source of this 76-nucleotide non-coding RNA. NCBI's taxonomy places the organism in Eukaryota, Metazoa, Chordata, Amphibia, Anura, Pipidae. The record is from Rfam.